Molecule: ribosomal RNA, 460 nt
Filed under: uncultured bacterium
Lineage: Bacteria
Description: partial 16S ribosomal RNA
Rfam family: Bacterial small subunit ribosomal RNA
Source: RNAcentral
CCUACGGGAGGCUGCAGUGAGGAAUAUUGGUCAAUGGCCGUAAGGCUGAACCAGCCAAGUCGCGUGAGGGAUGAAGGUCCUAUGGAUUGUAAACCUCUUUUGUCCGGGGAUAAAGUCUGCCACGUGUGCCUGUUUGAAUGUACCUGAUGAAAAAGCAUCGGCUAACUCCGUGCCAGCAGCCGCGGUAAUACGGAGGAUGCGGGCGUUAUCCGGAUUUAUUGGGUUUAAAGGGUGCGUAGGCGGGAUUGUAAGUCCGCGGUGAAAGUCUGUGGCUCAACCAUGGGCGUGCCGUGGAACCUGGCGGGCUUGAGAGGGCGGGAGGCAGGCGGAAUGCGUGGUGUAGCGGUGAAAUGCUUAGAUAUCACGAAGAACCCCGAUUGCGAAGGCAGCAUGCCGGCGCCUGACUGACGCUGAGGCACGAAAGCGUGGGUAUCGAACAGGAUUAGAUACCCGGGUAGUC